Molecule: unclassified non-coding RNA, 1590 nt
Filed under: Hevea brasiliensis (rubber tree)
Lineage: Eukaryota; Viridiplantae; Streptophyta; Magnoliopsida; Malpighiales; Euphorbiaceae
Source: RNAcentral
CUCCCUUGUUAGUUCCAUCUUAUAAAAACAACUAACCAGAAAAUUUUGAAAAAAUAAACGGGAAAAGAAAGGAAAGCCUACAAGUAAGGUAUCGUUACAUUACUAAAACAACUUCAGUAGCAAAUAACUCAGAAUGCACAAUAUAUUCUUCACAUAUCAACAAGGCAUCAACACUUUUUAGUAAAACUUCAGAAUAUGCAUCACUUCAAUAGCUGCUUCCUCUAUGCAAUGGUAAAGGCACAUUACAUAAGUUUUUUGUUUCUAUAACAUGCUUUUAUCUUAUUUGUAUUCUUCCAUUAAAGGUGUUCAAUUUUAGAGACUCAAUACAUGCUCCUAUUACCAUCCAAGCAUAAUGCAAACUGCAAAAACAAUUAGCCAAGAGAAUUCUUUUUCAUUACUCAAUGCCAAGUUCAUUGCCACAUACACAUGAAAAUAACAAUUAAGCAGUUGGCAGUACUAAUAUAAGUCUGCAUAUGAACAUUUCAUUUCGAAGGUCUAAGGAGAUGGAGUCCACUUCAAGGUUUUAUUCUUAAUAUAAACAUCCAAUGCUACAUGUUAUUUGCUGUAAUAAAGAACUUAAUGCAUAACAUGCAGGAAAAAACUCCUUAACAUAUGAUACAAGUGACGAAGGCAUACACAGCCAGUGAAUCAAUGGAGACAAAAGUAAGAUGGCUUCUUUUGACUAUAUAAAAGGCGUGAGAACUAAUCAAAAGGUUUAUGAGCAGAAAAAACAAGGAAAACUUAUUUAUGUUUUCUAAAUGACUAUAAAUUUCUUCUUUCACUAAAUGUGAAUUUAGUAAUUUGAAAAUCAAUCUGAUCAUGGUCAUCAAUAAAUUGUUACAUUCUAGGAGUUCAACUUUGCAAUUUAAAAAGCAAUAAAAAAAUAAAUAAAUAAAUCAGACGAAUGCAAUAGGAUGGCAAAUGACCUUUCCUUUGUAAGGAUCAAAAUCUGACAAAAAUCAUCAACAAUCAUUCAGUAAAAGGAAGAAACAUACUUGUCAAAUGGCAGAUCAGCACAUUUCCAGUUCACAUCAGCCAAAGCAUCAUGGUGAAUUCGACACUCUUCUUUGGUCCGUAAUCGGAACCUCCUUUCCUUUUUACACUUACUACAGCAAACAAACUCAUCGCGAUGACAAACUCGUCCAUUACAGGAUCUGUGGGAGCCAUUGGCAUUUUUUGAUGCUUGGCUGUAGUACUUGAGCAAUACUGUCUUUGACAAUGGAACCUUUUCCCCAUUAACUAUGACCCAGACAUUGUUUUUCCAUUUUCUUGCUGUCUCUCUUCCAGAAUGCUUCUCAAAUGCAGCUGGAGUCAGCUUGUCUUCAUUGCAACCAGGGGUGCAUUCACAGGUAAUUUCAAGGUCACCAUUGAUAAAAACCCUAAGCCUACCAACAGCAUCACCAUAUCUAUGGCUAGUACACCCACAUGUCACCUCUAUGUAAUCUCCACCUCUCUUGACGCCACUCAUCUCUCUCAACUCUUCAUCGCUAAACAAUAUCUCUUUCUCUAACCCAUUCGCCAUCUCGCUCGCUCUGUUAUGGCAAACCCAAAAACCCACAGCGAGAUCUUCGAGCCAAGAGCACCAAAACG